Molecule: small nuclear RNA, 107 nt
Filed under: Octodon degus (degu)
Lineage: Eukaryota; Metazoa; Chordata; Mammalia; Rodentia; Octodontidae
Source: RNAcentral
GUGCUCACUUCAGCAGCACAUAUACUAAAAUUGGAAUGAUACAGAAAAGAUUAACAUGGCCCCUGCGCAAGGAUGACACGCAAAUUCAUGAAGCGUUCCAUAUUUUU